RNAcentral lists this ribosomal RNA (446 nucleotides) under uncultured bacterium. RNAcentral's name for it is "SSU rRNA". It matches the Rfam family "Bacterial small subunit ribosomal RNA", at positions 26 to 518 of the family's 1533-position model. The record is from RNAcentral.
AGAGCGAACGCUGGCGGCAGGCUUAACACAUGCAAGUCGAACGGAUCCUUCGGGAUUAGUGGCGGACGGGUGAGUAACACGUGGGAACGUGCCUUUAGGUUCGGAACAACACAGGGAAACUUGUGCUAAUACCGGAUGUGCCCUUCGGGGGAAAGAUUUAUCGCCUUUAGAGCGGCCCGCGUCUGAUUAGCUUGUUGGUGAGGUAAAGGCUCACCAAGGCUACGAUCAGUAGCUGGUCUGAGAGGAUGGCCAGCCACAUUGGGACUGAGACACGGCCCAAACUCCUACGGGAGGCAGCAGUGGGGAAUCUUGCGCAAGUGGGGGAAACCCUGACGCAGCCAUGCCGCGUGGAUGAUGAAGGUCUUAGGAUUGUAAAAUCCUUUCAGCGGGGACGAUAAUGACGGUACCGCAGAAGAAGCCCCGGCUAACUUCGUGCCAGCAGCCGC